RNAcentral lists this ribosomal RNA (216 nucleotides) under uncultured fungus. RNAcentral's name for it is "partial small subunit ribosomal RNA". The stretch from base 48 to 216 matches the Rfam family "Eukaryotic small subunit ribosomal RNA", at positions 694 to 864 of the family's 1831-position model. The record is from RNAcentral. Lineage: Eukaryota; Fungi.
GGCCUGGUUGGAUGGUCUGCUCUCGGGUUUGUACUGUCCUGACUGGGUCUUACCUUCUGGUGAGCUGUCGUGUUGUUUACUCAGUGCGGCAGGGAACCAGGACUUUUACUUUGAAAAAAUUAGAGUGUUUAAAGCAGGCAUUCGCUUGAAUACAUUAGCAUGGAAUAAUAAAAUAGGACGUGUGGUUCUAUUUUGUUGGUUUCUAGAAUCGCCGUA